Molecule: long non-coding RNA, 702 nt
Organism: Neofelis nebulosa (Clouded leopard)
Lineage: Eukaryota; Metazoa; Chordata; Mammalia; Carnivora; Felidae
Exons: 4
Source: RefSeq, a predicted model, not a curated record
CAUUAAGCAGUGGCCUGUCACGCCCCUCAUGCCUUGCUGCUUCUGCCUUGGUCCCGUUCCAGCUUCCACAAUACGGGCUUCGGGACCUGCCCUCGACUGUGACGCCCUGAGGGCCAAACACUUUACGUGGUAGCUAUUGAAGGCUUUCACAGUUGGCUCUUUGCAGGCGCGUAAGGCUGUGGUCCACAGACCCAUGUUUUACCGGCAAGAGGAGGGCGAUCCUUGCUCUAUGCUGUCAGGUUGUGUUCUUGCUUGUUUUGUUUCACAGGCAGGUGAGGAGAGGGGACAGGAGUGAGACUGUCCUCUCUCUGUCUCCUAUGAAAAAUGGCAUGUCAGUCUCCUGGAAAGCUUUAUGAAGUUUGAAAUAUUAGUCAGCCGCCAGGUGACAUUCAUCAGGCAGGGCGGGACCGAAGUGAGACAGUGGGGGUGCCCCGGCCACCAACAUGCUGAAAGGCCACGUUGCUGGCCUGCUUCCCACACAAAAGCUGUGCCGUGGAUGAUCAAUAACAUCCUGAUUGGGGAGGAAGUUCUGGCAUCGGGCCUCCCGAGGAAGGAGGAGGCGGACACAGAGCAAAUGAUGAUUCUUCCCUGAUAGAAUUCUCCACGAGUAAAUCUUCCUUCCCAUUUAUUAGCCAACCGUCUGUGACAGGUGGGUCAGGAGGGAGAGGAGAGAUGUGUGAUUAAAUUCUGCUUUUCUGGCAA